This 413-nucleotide ribosomal RNA is filed under the name uncultured Actinomycetes bacterium. RNAcentral describes it as "bacterial SSU rRNA". It matches the Rfam family "Bacterial small subunit ribosomal RNA", at positions 41 to 453 of the family's 1533-position model. The record is from RNAcentral. Lineage: Bacteria; Bacillati; Actinomycetota; Actinomycetes.
GGCAGGCCUAACACAUGCAAGUCGAACGAUGAAGCCCAGCUUGCUGGGGUGGAUUAGUGGCGAACGGGUGAGUAACACGUGAGUAACCUGCCCUCCACUUCGGGAUAACGCCUGGAAACGGGUGCUAAUACCGGAUAUGACGCGCUAUCGCAUGGUGGUGUGUGAAAGACUGUGUUGGUGGGGGAUGGGCUCGCGGCCUAUCAGCUUGUUGGUGGGGUGAUGGCCUACCAAGGCGGUGACGGGUAGCCGGCCUGAGAGGGUGACCGGCCACACUGGGACUGAGACACGGCCCAGACUCCUACGGGAGGCAGCAGUGGGGAAUAUUGCACAAUGGGCGGAAGCCUGAUGCAGCGACGCCGCGUGAGGGAUGACGGCCUUCGGGUUGUAAACCUCUUUCGGUAGGAAGAAGCUUC